UACCAGUUUGAUUACAGGUGUAUUGA
RNAcentral lists this non-coding RNA (26 nucleotides) under Homo sapiens (human). Lineage: Eukaryota; Metazoa; Chordata; Mammalia; Primates; Hominidae. The record is from RNAcentral.